GGGCCGGUCGUCUAGCGGGAGGAUGUCGCCUUCGCACGGCGGAGGUCCCGGGUUCGAAUCCCGGCCGGUCCA
Molecule: transfer RNA, 72 nt
Filed under: Infirmifilum uzonense
Lineage: Archaea; Thermoproteati; Thermoproteota; Thermoprotei; Thermofilales; Thermofilaceae
Also listed under: 1 other name
Description: Thermofilum uzonense tRNA-Ala
Rfam family: tRNA
About the family: Transfer RNA (tRNA) molecules are approximately 80 nucleotides in length. Their secondary structure includes four short double-helical elements and three loops (D, anti-codon, and T loops). Further hydrogen bonds mediate the characteristic L-shaped molecular structure. tRNAs have two regions of fundamental functional importance: the anti-codon, which is responsible for specific mRNA codon recognition, and the 3' end, to which the tRNAs corresponding amino acid is attached (by aminoacyl-tRNA synthetases). tRNAs cope with the degeneracy of the genetic code in two manners: having more than one tRNA (with a specific anti-codon) for a particular amino acid; and 'wobble' base-pairing, i.e. permitting non-standard base-pairing at the 3rd anti-codon position.
Source: RNAcentral